AGUCGAGCGCCCUGCUUGCGGGAGCGGCAGACGGGUGAGUAACGCGCCCCUACGUGCCUAUUGGUUCGGAAUAGCCCUGGGAAACUGGGUGUAAUACCGAAUGUGCCCUUCGGGGGAAAGAUUUAUCGCCAAUAGAUCGGCCCGCGUUAGAUUAGCUAGUUGGUGGGGUAAAAGCCUACCAAGGCUACGAUCUAUAGCUGGUCUGAGAGGAUGAUCAGCCACACUGGGACUGAGACACGGCCCAAACUCCUACGGGAGGCAGCAGUGAGGAAUCUUGGACAAUGGGCGAAAGCCUGAUCCAGCCAUGCCGCGUGAAUGAUGAAGGCCUUAGGGUUGUAAAAUUCUUUCAGCAGGGAGGAUAAUGACGGUACCUGCAGAAGAAGCCCCGGCUAACUCCGUGCCAGCAGCCGCGGUAAUACGGAGGGGGCUAGCGUUGUUCGGAAUUACUGGGCGUAAAGCGCUCGUAGGCGGAUUGGUCAGUCAGAGGUGAAAGCCCAGGGCUCACCCUUGGAAUUGCCUUUGAUACUGCCAGUCUUGAGUUCGGGAGAGGUGAGCGGAAUUCCGAGUGUAGAGGUAAAAUUCGUAAAUAUUCGGAGGAACCCCAAAGGCGAAGGCGGUUCACUGGACCGAUACUGACUCUGAAGAGCGAAAGCGUGGGGAGCAAACAGGAUUAAAUACCCUGGUAGUCCCCGCCCGAAAACAAUAAAAGCUAGUUGUCUGGGCACUUGCUUUUAGGUGACGCCACUUAACGCUUUAAUCUCUCCCCCCUGGGGAAUACGGCCCCCAGGGUUAAA
Molecule: ribosomal RNA, 794 nt
Filed under: uncultured Alphaproteobacteria bacterium
Lineage: Bacteria; Pseudomonadati; Pseudomonadota; Alphaproteobacteria
Description: bacterial SSU rRNA
Rfam family: Bacterial small subunit ribosomal RNA
Source: RNAcentral